This 68-nucleotide transfer RNA is filed under the name Ocellarnaca emeiensis. Its description in RNAcentral is "tRNA-Met". The record is from RNAcentral. Lineage: Eukaryota; Metazoa; Arthropoda; Insecta; Orthoptera; Gryllacrididae.
AAAAAGAUAAGCUAAAAUGAAGCUAGUGGGUUCAUACCCCGUUAAUAGAAGAAGACUUCUUCUUUUUA